UACGUAGGGGGCAAGCGUUGUCCGGAAUUAUUGGGCGUAAAGAGCGCGUAGGCGGUCCUGCAAGUCCGCUGUGAAAGUCAAGGGCUCAACCCUUGAAUGGCGGUGGAUACUGCAGGGCUAGAGUCCGGAAGAGGCGAGUGGAAUUCCUGGUGUAGCGGUGAAAUGCGCAGAUAUCAGGAGGAACACCGAUGGCGAAGGCAGCUCGCUGGGACGGUACUGACGCUGAGGCGCGAAAGCGUGGGGAGCAAACAGG
RNAcentral lists this ribosomal RNA (253 nucleotides) under uncultured bacterium. RNAcentral's name for it is "partial 16S ribosomal RNA". It matches the Rfam family "Bacterial small subunit ribosomal RNA", at positions 524 to 776 of the family's 1533-position model. The record is from RNAcentral.